CCUACGGGUGGCAGCAGUGAGGAAUAUUGGUCAAUGGCCGCGAGUCUGAACCAGCCAAGUAGCGUGAAGGAUGACUGCCCUAUGGGUUGUAAACUUCUUUUAUAUGGGAAUAAAACGUUCCACGUGUGGGAUUUUGUAUGUACCAUAUGAAUAAGGAUCGGCUAACUCCGUGCCAGCAGCCGCGGUAAUACGGAGGAUCCGAGCGUUAUCCGGAUUUAUUGGGUUUAAAGGGAGCGUAGGUGGGUUGUUAAGUCAGUUGUGAAAGUUUGCGGCUCAACCGUAAAAUUGCAGUUGAAACUGGCAGUCUUGAGUACAGUAGAGGUAGGCGGAAUGCGGGGUGUAGCGGUGAAAUGCUUAGAUAUCACGAAGAACUCCGAUUGCGAAGGCAGUUCACUGGACUGCAACUGACACUGAGGCUCGAAAGUGUGGGUAUCAAACAGGAUUAGAUACCCGGGUAGUC
Molecule: ribosomal RNA, 460 nt
Filed under: uncultured bacterium
Lineage: Bacteria
Description: partial 16S ribosomal RNA
Rfam family: Bacterial small subunit ribosomal RNA
Source: RNAcentral